RNA transcript from Pistacia vera, 3653 nucleotides. It is a transcript of the gene named septin and tuftelin-interacting protein 1 homolog 1, with no coding region annotated. The transcript is spliced from 4 exons. The record is from RefSeq and is a predicted model, not a curated record. Lineage: Eukaryota; Viridiplantae; Streptophyta; Magnoliopsida; Sapindales; Anacardiaceae.
CUCACUCUCGUCUCCGGUCGCCACUUCUCAUCCAACCAUCAAUCUUAUCACCAUUUCUAAUCUCCAUCUUCUCUUUCGCUCUCAUUCUCAACCUCCUCUUUCUUCUCCUUUCUUCAUUCUCUGUCAAUAUCCCAACUCUCUCUUUCUUCUCCACUUUAAACAGCUCUUUCUCUUCAUUUUUUUGUUUUCACUUUCCUCAUCCAAAAUUCUCUUCAUCUUUCGAAGUCUCUGGCGCGGAGGUUCUUGGAGACCCAUUUGAGAUAGAGGAUGGACGAUGAGCAGGAGAUGGAGAGGUUCGGAAUGGAGAACGACUUUGAGGGAGGCCAGUGGAUAAAUGGCGAAUUUUAUUUCAAGAGGCGCAAGGAAAAACGAACUCAAACCAAAGACGAUGUUUUGUAUGGCGUUUUUGCCUCUGAUUCUGACUCUGAUGAUGGUUACUCCAAGAAGCGGAGAAAAGACCGUGACUUUGGAAGAAAAGCUGAUUUGACAAAGCCUGUCAAUUUCGUUUCUACAGGUACUGUAAUGCCCAAUCAGGAGAUUGAUAAGAAUCUCAAAGAGGAAAAUGAUGAUAUUUUAGAGGAGGAUGAUGACAACCGCCCUGGUUUAGGUAUUGGUUUUGGAUCUGGAAAUUCUGGUGCUGGUUUAGGUUCAGGUUUAGGGUUUGGUGGAAAUAGUUCUAAGAAAAAGGAUGCUGAGGUUAAAGCUUGUGAUUUGGAUGGUGAUGAUGAUAGUUUCUUGCCAACAGCAUUUGGGAGGAAGAUAAAGGAGGGAGCACAGAGGAGGGAGAGAGAGCGGGAGAGGGAAAAAUCGGAGAAAAAGAGUCAAGGCGGAAAAGGGAGAGAAAUUGGCACUGGGGAUGUAGGGGGUUUUGAGAAGUAUACAAAGGGAAUUGGUAAGAAGUUGCUGGACAAGAUGGGGUAUAAAGGUGGUGGGCUUGGAAAGAAUGAGCAAGGGAUUGUGACACCGCUUGAAGCAAAGAUGAGACCCAAGAAUAUGGGUAUGGGUUUCAAUGAUUUUAAAGAAGCACCAGCAGCAAAGUUGCCAGACUUGGAAAAGUUGGCGGAAAAGAAGAUUGUGGGGCAGCAACAACCUGUUGGGAGAGCAAAGGAGAAGCUUUGGUCAAAGCAGACAAAGGGGAGGAAGAAGGAAGAGUAUAUUACCAUGGAGGAAUUGUUAGCAAAGAAACAAGAACAAGGGUUUGAGGUGGUUCAGAAGGUGAUUGAUAUGCGAGGGCCACAAGUUAGGGUUUUGACAAACUUGGAGAAUUUGGACGCAGAGGAGAAAGCAAGGGAGAAUGAUGUUCCGAUGCCUGAGCUACAGCAUAAUAUAAAGUUGAUUGUGGACUUGGCUGAGCUUGAUAUUCAGAAGAUUGAUAAUGAUUUGAGGAAUGAAAAGGAGACUGCAUUGAGUUUGCAAAAGGAGAAGGAGAAGUUGCAGGAGAUGGCCGAUGAACAGAAGCAGCAGUUGGACAAUAUGGAGAAAAUUGUUAAUGUUUUGGGUCAAAUUGAGAGAGAAAAUUCAUUAGGAACUUUAACAUUGGACUCACUUGCAAACUAUUUUAGUGACUUGCUCAGAAGAUUUCCUCAUGAUUAUAAACUCUGUAACUUGUCAUGCAUUGCUUGCUCAUACGCUUUGCCUCUUUUUAUAAGGACGUUUCAAGGUUGGGACCCUCUUCGGAAUCCGUCACAUAAACUGGAGAUUGUGUCAACAUGGAAGAAUUUGUUGCAAACAGAGGAUAGUCAUGAUUUAUGGGAUAUAUCAACACCUUAUUCUCAACUGGUUUCAGAAGUUGUCUUACCUGCUGUGAGAAUAUCUGGCAUCAAUACUUGGGAUGCAAGAGACCCUGAGCCAAUGCUUAGAUUUUUGGAGUCAUGGGAGAAGCUGCUGCCUUCUUCUGUUCUUCAGACCAUGUUGGAUACAAUAAUUUUUCCAAAAUUGUCAACCGCUGUGGACUCAUGGGACCCACGUCGAGAAACUGUUCCAAUCCAUGUUUGGGUGCAUCCAUGGCUCCCAAUGUUGGGACAUAAAUUGGAGGGUUUGUAUCAUAUCAUACGUAUAAAGUUGAGUAAUGUUCUUGACGCUUGGCAUCCAAGCGAUGUAUCUGCUUACACCAUAUUGUCGCCGUGGAAGACUGUGUUUGAUUCAACAAGUUGGGAGCAGCUCAUGCGUAGGUAUAUUGUUCCAAAAUUGCAAGUUGCUCUUCAAGAGUUACAAAUUAACCCUGCAAACCAAAAGCUUGAUCAGUUCUAUUGGGUUAUGUCUUGGGCUUCUGCUAUUCCAAUUCAUCUCAUGGUUGAUUUGAUGGAGAGGUUUUUCUUUGCUAAGUGGCUGCAGGUUUUGUAUCACUGGUUGAACACUUCUCCGAACUUUGAAGAGAUUCAUAAAUGGUAUAUGGGAUGGAAGGGACUUCUUCCACAGGAACUUCUAGCUAAUGAAAAUAUCCGGACUCAACUAAAUCUCGGUCUUGACAUGAUGUCUCAAGCCGCUGAUGGUAUGAAAGUGGUCCAACCUGGCUUAAGGGAGAACCUUAGUUAUCUUAGGGUGUUGGAGCAGAGGCAGUUUGAGGCUCAGCAGAAAGCAGCUGCUCAAGCUCAACAAGCAGCAGCAGCUGCUGCUUCCCAUAUGGAUGGUACAGAUGCACAACGUGAGAUGACAUUGAAAGAAGUUGUGGAGGCAUAUGCACAGCAGCAUGAAUUGCUAUUUAAGCCUAAACCUGGAAGGACACAUAACGGUCAGCAAAUAUAUGGCUUUGGCAACAUAAGCAUAUAUGUGGACUCCCUAAAUCAAAUGGUGUAUGCGCAAAAGGAGGAAGGAUGGACUGCAGUUACACUUGACACAUUGCUGAGGAUGCACAAUAAUUCUAUUGCAAGGAGAUAUUGAAUUUGGUUACUGUGCUUUGAAGAGCUGUAUCAGGGUAAAGUAACUGAUGGCUGAGAGAACAAAGAAUUUCAGUUUUUGUAGGCUGUAUGCAUAAACAGUUUCAAAGAAUUAAGAGACAAGCUUUCAUAGAUCAUGACCACGGAUUGGCACAUUAUCAAUUCGGUUCAACAAAGAAUGGAAUCUUUCUUUCAAGAUGACAAUGUUCACUGAUUCACCAGGUAAAGGAGAAAGAUUUCUGUGGUUUUAGCUUGGCAAAGGAGAAAGAAUUCUAAUAACCAGCUAAGAGUUUUUUACUAGUCCAAAGUUGCAUCAGAGUCUUCUGAAGGGGUAUGUGAAGUGAGUGGUGAGUGAAGAGCUGCUCACUGAUGCAGAAGUUGUGCAUCUUUGAAAGAUGAUCAUAAUUGGCCUUUCCUUGUAGGAGCACAAAUCAAGGUAAUAUAUGAGUUUUAUGUUCUUCAUCCUUCAUCUUUUACUGAUUACAUGCUUAUAAUGUGAAGGCAUUAUUUUUUAGGAUAAUUUGUUUCUUUAUGUUGUGAAAAGUUAUAAUUCUUAAUGAAUUCUAUCUAUAUAUUUUGACUUCACUCUGGUUAGAGCUCGACACUGUACUGAUUUUGGGCUUAAAUCAGCCUUUUUGUCCUUUUUAUCAUUUGUGUCUACUGGUUACAUUGUUUUGAAAUCCAAAUUCUUUGUACUGACAGUUUUAGAUCCUUUUAGAUGAUUGUAAGUAUGAAUAACUGCUGUAUCCCUACACAAACUGAACUCUAAUUUUUCAU